UACGUAGGGACCGAGCGUUGUCCGGAAUCAUUGGGCGUAAAGAGCGUGUAGGCGGCCACUUAAGUCCUGCGUGAAAUCUUGCGGCUCAACCGCAAGCGGUCGUGGGAAACUGGGUGGCUAGAGUGCGGGAGAGGAGAGUGGAAUUCCAGGUGUAGCGGUGAAAUGCGUAGAUAUCUGGAGGAACACCGGUGGCGAAGGCGGCAUCCUGGACCAACACUGACGCUGAGGAGCGAAAGCCAGGGGAGCAAACGGG
This 253-nucleotide ribosomal RNA is filed under the name uncultured bacterium. Its description in RNAcentral is "partial 16S ribosomal RNA". It matches the Rfam family "Bacterial small subunit ribosomal RNA", at positions 524 to 776 of the family's 1533-position model. The record is from RNAcentral.